Molecule: ribosomal RNA, 253 nt
Filed under: uncultured bacterium
Lineage: Bacteria
Description: partial 16S ribosomal RNA
Rfam family: Bacterial small subunit ribosomal RNA
Source: RNAcentral
UACGUAGGGGGCAAGCGUUGUCCGGAAUCAUUGGGCGUAAAGAGCGUGUAGGCGGCCAGAUAAGUCCGCUGUGAAAUCUCGAGGCUCAACUUCGAGCUGUCGGUGGAAACUGUCUGGCUAGAGUCCGGAAGAGGAGAAUGGAAUUCCUGGUGUAGCGGUGAAAUGCGCAGAUAUCAGGAAGAACACCCGUGGCGAAGGCGGUUCUCUGGACAGUUCCUGACGCUGAGGCACGAAGGCCAGGGGAGCAAACGGG